RNAcentral lists this transfer RNA (60 nucleotides) under Rhodococcoides fascians. Its description in RNAcentral is "tRNA-Ser". The record is from RNAcentral. Lineage: Bacteria; Bacillati; Actinomycetota; Actinomycetes; Mycobacteriales; Nocardiaceae.
GCGAGGUAGGCCAACCGGUAUGCAAAGCCGUUCACACGGGUUCGAGUCCCGUCGCUCGCU